This 494-nucleotide ribosomal RNA is filed under the name uncultured bacterium. RNAcentral's name for it is "partial 16S ribosomal RNA". It matches the Rfam family "Bacterial small subunit ribosomal RNA", at positions 30 to 506 of the family's 1533-position model. The record is from RNAcentral.
UGAACGCUGGCGGCGUGCCUAAUACAUGCAAGUCGAGCGAACAGACGAGGAGCUUGCUCCUCUGACGUUAGCGGCGGACGGGUGAGUAACACGUGGAUAACCUACCUAUAAGACUGGGAUAACUUCGGGAAACCGGAGCUAAUACCGGAUAAUAUAUUGAACCGCAUGGUUCACUAGUGAAAGACGGUUUUGCUGUCACUUAUAGAUGGAUCCGCGCCGCAUUAGCUAGUUGGUAAGGUAACGGCUUACCAAGGCAACGAUGCGUAGCCGACCUGAGAGGGUGAUCGGCCACACUGGAACUGAGACACGGUCCAGACUCCUACGGGAGGCAGCAGUAGGGAAUCUUCCGCAAUGGGCGAAAGCCUGACGGAGCAACGCCGCGUGAGUGAUGAAGGUCUUCGGAUCGUAAAACUCUGUUAUUAGGGAAGAACAAAUGUGUAAGUAACUAUGCACGUCUUGACGGUACCUAAGCAGAAAGCCACGGCUAACUACGU